RNAcentral lists this long non-coding RNA (889 nucleotides) under Anas platyrhynchos platyrhynchos (common mallard). RNAcentral describes it as "lncRNA (ENSAPLG00000024519.1)". The record is from RNAcentral. Lineage: Eukaryota; Metazoa; Chordata; Aves; Anseriformes; Anatidae.
CACCUGGUUUGUUCUUCAUUUUGCAAAUAGGAUACACCUGAAAAAUGGAGUAUUUAAGGAGCCUGUGAUCCAUUAUUCAUAAACCCAAACCCGCUUGUGCUGGAGUCUGGUAAGUCCAAGCAGCCUGGUGUGUUUCAUGCAAAUGCCUGCAGACUUAGGCCAGCUUGUGACUACAAGCAAGUUGAUUGGUAUCUUCAUCUCUUCAUGGUGCAGCAGCAAUGACUGCCUUUCUGUCUUUCACCCAUAGCUCUGUUUUGGUGGUUACACCUGGGACUUCUUAGAAAGUCAUGUGGCACCGUACCAAUUGGUUUUCUUUAAACCUUGUAUUUGUUUCAUGUUUUACUAUUCUUUUGUUAUUGCUUCUGUGUGUCUAUCCAGCUGGGCACUAUGGUCUGGAGGAGGAGGUGGUGUGCAGGAGCAGUGAGGACCAAAAGAACUUGGUUUGCAGCAGAAUGUCUCUUCAAGCCAGUGGACAAGUUGAGGAGGAAUUAAACCAGAAAAAGAGGAGAGAGGGAUUCUAAAGAUCUGAUUUCUUCAGAUGCAUACAUUUCUGCAUCAGUAAAGACAAGAGUGAUUUUUGGAUCUUCUGAUUAUUUCAUCACAGUUGAAUCUCUAAGUGACAUGGAUUCCUCUCUGGAGCUGUCUGCUUCUUGCCAUGCACUGAGUAUGCUUAGACAAUUAAAGUUUGGCAAAAGGAACUUCUCCUUCAAUAUUCCUAAUUUUUCCCUCAGAGUAACAAGCCUACAGUUUUCCUAAGUGAAACUGUCAGUCUGAAUCUUGUCCCCAAUGUGUUUCUUAAUUACACCAUAGCUGUUAAGCUGUAGUGAUGUUCCUUGCGGAAUGGUCUGAAAUUAAAGCUAAGAAUAAACUCAGAUAGCUUGCUGAAGCA